This 500-nucleotide ribosomal RNA is filed under the name uncultured bacterium. RNAcentral's name for it is "partial 16S ribosomal RNA". It matches the Rfam family "Bacterial small subunit ribosomal RNA", at positions 30 to 523 of the family's 1533-position model. The record is from RNAcentral.
AUUGAACGCUGGCGGCAGGCCUAACACAUGCAAGUCGAGCGGAUGACGGGAGCUUGCUCCUUGAUUCAGCGGCGGACGGGUGAGUAAUGCCUAGGAAUCUGCCUGGUAGUGGGGGACAACGUUUCGAAAGGAACGCUAAUACCGCAUACGUCCUACGGGAGAAAGCAGGGGACCUUCGGGCCUUGCGCUAUCAGAUGAGCCUAGGUCGGAUUAGCUAGUAGGUGAGGUAAUGGCUCACCUAGGCGACGAUCCGUAACUGGUCUGAGAGGAUGAACAGUCACACUGGAACUGAGACACGGUCCAGACUCCUACGGGAGGCAGCAGUGGGGAAUAUUGGACAAUGGGCGAAAGCCUGAUUCAGCCAUGCCGCGUGUGUGAAGAAGGUCUUCGGAUUGUAAAGCACUUUAAGUUGGGAGGAAGGGUUGUACGAUAAUACCGUGCAAUUUUGACGUUACCGACAGAAUAAGCACCGGCUAACUCUGUGCCAGCCGCCGCCGUAA